AUUCCAGCUCCAAUAGCGUAUAUUAAAGUUGUUGCAGUUAAAAAGCUCGUAGUUGAACUUUGGACCUGGUCGGCCGGUCCGGAUUUUUCCGCGUACUGGUUUUUCCGACCGGGCCUUUCCUUCUGGCUAGCCCUGGGUCCUUGUGGCCCUUGGUGAACCAGGACUUUUACUUUGAAAAAAUUAGAGUGUUCAAAGCAGGCGUAUUGCUCGAAUAUAUUAGCAUGGAAUAACAGAAUAGGACGUUUGGUUCUAUUUUGUUGGUUUCUAGGACCAUCGUAAUGAUUAAUAGGGACGGUCGGGGGCAUCAGUAUUCAGUUGUCAGAGGUGAAAUUCUUGGAUUUACUGAAGACUAACUACUGCGAAAGCAUUUGCCAAGGACGUUUUCAUUG
RNAcentral lists this ribosomal RNA (389 nucleotides) under Zygosaccharomyces sp. RNAcentral's name for it is "partial small subunit ribosomal RNA". It matches the Rfam family "Eukaryotic small subunit ribosomal RNA", at positions 582 to 975 of the family's 1831-position model. Lineage: Eukaryota; Fungi; Ascomycota; Saccharomycetes; Saccharomycetales; Saccharomycetaceae. The record is from RNAcentral.